GGGGACGUCUUGCUUUGACGAGGCGAAUCGCUCUUUAACAUCUGCAUACCGACUUUGACUAGAGAAGUCGUAAAACAGAGUCAAAAAAUAUCUGUCAAAUCUUUUGUACAGACAGCCAAAAAUGCUUUUCUAGCAAUGGAAAAUGCCAUCUUUGGUUCAGCUAAUUACGCAUACACUGCUUAAUUAUUCUGCGUCUCGUUAUCUACUCGCUCAUGGGAAAAUAACAGGCGGAAACAAACAUGAGCCGUAAGUCUGAACUAGUCGCUCAGACCCAAACAAACGACUACCCUCGCUAAAUAGUUGGUUGUUAGUUUCCUAUAUUUAGAGAGGUAAAACUCUUAAACACUAAACAAGUAUGUAGAUGAUGUUAAAAGCUCGCUCCGGACGAGGGCUCACUGCCCUCCGUCUCCACAC
RNAcentral lists this transfer-messenger RNA (414 nucleotides) under Patescibacteria group. RNAcentral's name for it is "GWF sp003576945 Standard tmRNA". It matches the Rfam family "transfer-messenger RNA". Rfam says of the family: Bacterial tmRNA, also known as 10Sa RNA or SsrA, is named for its dual tRNA and mRNA-like properties. RNAcentral also lists the same sequence under 3 other names. The record is from RNAcentral.